This 1791-nucleotide long non-coding RNA is filed under the name Calidris pugnax (ruff). Its description in RNAcentral is "lncRNA (ENSCPUG00000018638.1)". The record is from RNAcentral. Lineage: Eukaryota; Metazoa; Chordata; Aves; Charadriiformes; Scolopacidae.
UCCCUCCCCUGCUGCGGUGGGGAGCCCAGGGGAGCCCCCAGCCAGCAAUUACCUCAUCAACAACCCGUGUCUUACUCUCUCUGGAGAGAGCGAUCAGCAGCGGAUGCUCUCGCCUGGGGAUGGCCCGAGAGCCGCGGUACAUCCUCGUGCUGCUUCAUCCCCCAGCUUAGCAAAGCCCACGGGGCUUCCCACUCCUCGCGGGUUCCUCGGGGGGACUUUGGGGUACAAAAAACUUGCAGUUUUCUCAGGAUGUUUCUGCCUCUCUCUGUAGGAAGCGUGUUCCCAGCCCUGUUGGAGCCCCGCAUGGUCCAUGUGGAUGCUGCCCCGGGAGCACGGACACGGGCACGGGUGGGAGCAGAGCUCAGCCCUGAAGGACCCCCCCACGAAAAGCAGCCACGGGAGCUCUGCAGGGAGCAGUGUGUCUGCAGGAUCUGCCCUGUGCCUGUCCCAGCUGGUGGCAUCAUCCGAGGAACCCUGGGGUGCUGGAGAGGGGCUGGAGAGGGGCUGGGCUGGGACCUGCCGGAGUUUGAGUCCUUUCAUCCACCUCUGCCUACCAGAAACGUUGGAACAUCAGAGUAAGAGAGUGUCGUGGUGGGAGGAAGCUGAACUAGAGCACAGAGAAUGAGAAAACCCUCUGGGAGAAGGGAGGGGACCCUGCUGGGGCUGGGGGGGUCCCUCCCCUUGGCUGGAGUCUCUGCCUCUUUGAGAAGAGCAGAAAUUCAGAGAGGCUGUUCCUUCAGUGCAGAGGAUGGAAACGCUGCAGCCUCCCUGCAGAUGAGUCCCUGGCCUGGCCCAAGGGUGUCCCAGUGAUGGGCACCACGGCCAGUCCCACGGAUGGUAAAUGUGGGUGCAGGGGGACGGGAUGCUCAGCCCUCUCUGCUUGUGUGGGGAGAGCUGGAGCACAGCGCCAGGCCCCCAAAUUGGGAUGGUUUUUCUUCUCUUCCCCCGCCACUUUGUUUCUACGUUCCUUUAAAGAAGGCCAGGAUACAGAGCAGGAAAAAAAAAAAAAUCUCUUUGCGUUUCUGCGAGUUAUGAAAUAAUCAUGCGGUGUUUCCCUUCAUCACUACUAAUCACAAGAGAGUUAUGAAAUAAUCAUGCGGUGUUUCCCUUCAUCACUACUAAUCACAAGAGCAAGCUCUCACAAAGAAUUAGUUUGCACUAAACCUUUCGUAAAUCUCUGAAGCCACAGAUGAGAGAUCGCAGAACUGGAGAUUAUGACUUUUAAGUUCAAUUCAUUACCUCAAAUUAGCAUCAAACUACACAGCCCUGCAAGCAGAGCCCUGACCUGAGCUGUUCAAACCCGGCGGCUCCCGUGGGAUUAGUCGGAGCAGGUUGGGAAGGGAGCGAGGCUGGAGAGGAGCAGCUCGUGCUGGAUCGUGUUCAGGAGAGUGUCUUCUCUCCUGCUAGAACGUAUCAUUGCCUUAUUAGGCAAAAUAGAUUUUAGCAUUGAUUUAUCAUCCCCGUUGGAAAGACGUUUUGCUGUGGUUUUCCAUUUAAAUGGAGCUUGGCAGCCUGUGCCUGGGAGCCCUGUCCCUCCCCACGGCCGUGUGUCCUCAGCUGGGUGGGAGGAAGGGAGGGAGGAAGCCUCCUUCAGUGGUACCUGUUCUCGAGUGGAGCAGAAAAGGGGUGGGCAGGCUCUGGAUAGUGUUAUUAUUAUUUGCACCUAUCAAGAAAAAAGGUCUGUUGGAACCUGGGGACAUCAGAGGAAGGAGCUGCUGACAGGGAUGGUGGCUCCCGCUCCCCUGCUCCGGGGGGAAAAUGUGUGAAUAAAUUAUUACAAACCCAAGAGCA